Molecule: non-coding RNA, 148 nt
Filed under: Nomascus leucogenys (northern white-cheeked gibbon)
Lineage: Eukaryota; Metazoa; Chordata; Mammalia; Primates; Hylobatidae
Source: Rfam by way of RNAcentral
GCUGGGCGUGGUGGUACACGCCUGUAAUCCCAGCUACUCGGGAGGCUGAGGCAGAAGAAUUGCUUGAGCCCAGGAUACGGAGGUUGCAGUGAGCCAAGAUCAUGCCACUGCACUCCAGCCUGGCCAACAGAGCGAGACUCUGUCUCAA